GACGAACGCUGGCGGCGUGCCUAACACAUGCAAGUCGAACGGAGAUAUGAUUUCGGUUGUAUCUUAGUGGCGAACGGGUGAGUAACGCGUGAGCAACCUGACUCUUAGAGGGGGAUAACACUCGGAAACGGGUGCUAAUACCGCAUAAGACCACGACAUGGCAUCAUGACGAGGUCAAAGGAGCAAUCCGCUGAGAGAGGGGCUCGCGUCCCAUUAGAUAGAUGGCGGGGUAACGGCCCACCAUGUCAGCGAUGGGUAGCCGAGCUGAGAGGCUGAUCGGCCACACUGGAACUGAGACACGGUCCAGACUCCUACGGGAGGCAGCAGUGGGGAAUAUUGGGCAAUGGGCGCAAGCCUGACCCAGCAACGCCGCGUGAGGGAAGAAGGCUUUCGGGUUGUAAACCUCUGUCCUUGGUGACGAAAAAAUGACGGUAGCCAAGGAGGAAGCCCGGCUAACUACGUGCCAGCAGCCGCGGUAAUAGUACUCU
RNAcentral lists this ribosomal RNA (488 nucleotides) under uncultured bacterium. RNAcentral's name for it is "bacterial SSU rRNA". It matches the Rfam family "Bacterial small subunit ribosomal RNA", at positions 28 to 531 of the family's 1533-position model. The record is from RNAcentral.